RNAcentral lists this transfer RNA (69 nucleotides) under Neobacillus vireti. RNAcentral describes it as "Bacillus vireti tRNA-Met". The stretch from base 4 to 61 matches the Rfam family "tRNA", at positions 9 to 63 of the family's 71-position model. From Rfam's summary of the family: Transfer RNA (tRNA) molecules are approximately 80 nucleotides in length. The record is from RNAcentral. Lineage: Bacteria; Bacillati; Bacillota; Bacilli; Caryophanales; Bacillaceae.
CGCGGAGCAGUCUGGUAGCUCGUCGGGCUCAUAACCCGAAGGUCGCAGGUUCAAAUCCUGUCCCCGCAA